Molecule: ribosomal RNA, 497 nt
Filed under: uncultured bacterium
Lineage: Bacteria
Description: partial 16S ribosomal RNA
Rfam family: Bacterial small subunit ribosomal RNA
Source: RNAcentral
GAUGAACGCUGGCGGCGUGCUUAACACAUGCAAGUCGAGCGAACGGACGAGCAGUUUGCUUUUCUGAUGUUAGCGGCGGAUGGGUGAGUAACACGUGGAUAACCUACCUAUAAGACUGGGAUAACUUCUGGAAACCGGAGCUAAUACCGGAUAAUAUUUUGAACUGCAUGGUUCAAAAGUGAAAGAAGGACUUGUUGUUACUUAUAGAGGGAUACGCGCUGCAUUAGCUAGUUGUUAAGGUAAUGGCUUACCAAGGCAACGACGCAUAGUCGACCUGCGAGGGUGAUCGUCGACACUGGAACUGGGACACGGUCCAGGCUCCUACGGGAGGCGGCGGUAGGGAAUCUUCCGCAAUGGGCGAAGGCCUGACGGUGCAGCAGCGCGUGAGUGAUGAAGAUCUUCGGCUCGUGAUACUCUGUUAUUAGGGAAGAACAUAUGUGUAAGUAGCUGUGCACAUCUUGACGGUAGCUAAUCAAGAAGCCACGGCUAACUACGUG